CAAGUAGGGACACGGCAAUGGAAACACAGCAUCUGCACAACCCGAAACUAACUCACAGUGCCAUGCUGUAGUUGGGGAAAGUCCAAGAUUUUUGACUCGUUCCAUCGUUACAUUGCUUAUGGUAAUAUUUGCAAUGUAUCCCCCUCUUCCCUUGUCGGUUUUUAUACGGACCCCAGCUGCUGAAUUCCAAACAUGCAUAUCUUCGAUAGUGACGUUAAAAAUCCCUCCAGACAUCUCAC
Molecule: long non-coding RNA, 239 nt
Organism: Hibiscus syriacus
Lineage: Eukaryota; Viridiplantae; Streptophyta; Magnoliopsida; Malvales; Malvaceae
Exons: 2
Source: RefSeq, a predicted model, not a curated record